RNAcentral lists this ribosomal RNA (151 nucleotides) under Aspergillus niger. RNAcentral's name for it is "5.8S ribosomal RNA". It matches the Rfam family "5.8S ribosomal RNA". Rfam says of the family: 5.8S ribosomal RNA (5.8S rRNA) is a component of the large subunit of the eukaryotic ribosome. It is transcribed by RNA polymerase I as part of the 45S precursor that also contains 18S and 28S rRNA. Functionally, it is thought that 5.8S rRNA may be involved in ribosome translocation. Lineage: Eukaryota; Fungi; Ascomycota; Eurotiomycetes; Eurotiales; Aspergillaceae. The record is from RNAcentral.
ACUUUCAACAAUGGAUCUCUUGGUUCCGGCAUCGAUGAAGAACGCAGCGAAAUGCGAUAACUAAUGUGAAUUGCAGAAUUCAGUGAAUCAUCGAGUCUUUGAACGCACAUUGCGCCCCCUGGUAUUCCGGGGGCAUGCCUGUCCGAGCGUC